This 644-nucleotide ribosomal RNA is filed under the name uncultured soil bacterium. RNAcentral's name for it is "bacterial SSU rRNA". It matches the Rfam family "Bacterial small subunit ribosomal RNA", at positions 35 to 724 of the family's 1533-position model. The record is from RNAcentral.
GCUGGCGGCAGGCCUAACACAUGCAAGUCGAGCGGCCGUAGCAAUACGGCAGCGGCAGACGGGAGAGUAACACGUGGGAACGCGCCUUCGGUCCGGGAUAACCCAGGGAAACUUGGGCUAAUACCGGAUACGCCCUUACGGGGAAAGAUUUAUUGCCGAAGGAACGGCCCGCGUCCGAUUAGCUAGUUGGUGAGGUAACGGCUCACCAAGGCGACGAUCGGUAGCUGGUCUGAGAGGAUGACCAUGCCUCACUGGGACUGAGACACGGCCCAGACUCCUACGGGAGGCAGCAGUGGGGAAUAUUGGACAAUGGGCGCAAGCCUGAUCCAGCCAUGCCGCGUGGGUGAUGAAGGCCCUAGGGUUGUAAAGCCCUUUCAGCGGGGAAGAUAAUGACGGUACCCGCAGAAGAAGCCCCGGCUAACUUCGUGCCAGCAGCCGCGGUAAUACGAAGGGGGCUAGCGUUGCUCGGAAUUACUGGGCGUAAAGCGCACGUAGGCGGCUUUCUAAGUCGGGGGUGAAAUCCUGGAGCUCAACUCCAGAACUGCCUUCGAUACUGGAAAGCUCGAGUCCGGGAGAGGUGAGUGGAACUGCGAGUGUAGAGGUGAAAUUCGUAGAUAUUCCAAGAACACCAGUGGCGAAGGCGG